UACGUAGGGGGCUAGCGUUGUCCGGAAUCAUUGGGCGUAAAGAGCGUGUAGGCGGCUCGGUAAGUCCGCUGUAAAAGUCAAAGGCUCAACCUUUGAAAGCCGGUGGAUACUGUGAGGCUAGAGUACGGAAGAGGCGAGUGGAAUUCCUGGUGUAGCGGUGGAAUGCGCAGAUAUCAGGAGGAACACCAAUAGCGAAGGCAGCUCGCUGGGACGUAACUGACACUGAGGCGCGAAAGCGUGGGGAGCGAACAGG
Molecule: ribosomal RNA, 253 nt
Filed under: uncultured bacterium
Lineage: Bacteria
Description: partial 16S ribosomal RNA
Rfam family: Bacterial small subunit ribosomal RNA
Source: RNAcentral